CGCCUUGCCAGCCCGCUCAGAAACUUAAAGGAAUUGACGGGGCCCGCACAAGCGGUGGAGUAUGUGGUUUAAUCGAUGCAACGCGAAGAACCUUACCUGGUCUUGACAUCCCGGAGACCCUUAGGAAACUAGGGGGUGCUUCCAUCUGGAAGAAUCUGGAGACAGGUGCUGCAUGGCUGUCGUCAGCUCGUGUCGUGAGAUGUUGGGUUAAGUCCCGCAACGAGCGCAACCCUUGCCUUUAGUUGCCAGCAGUUCGGCUGGGCACUCUAAAGGGACUGCCGGUGUUAAACCGGAGGAAGGUGGGGAUGACGUCAAGUCCUCAUGGCCUUUAUGACCAGGGCUACACACGUACUACAAUGGCCGAUACAAAGGGCAGCGACACUGCGAGGUGAAGCCAAUCCCGUAAAAUCGGUCUCAGUCCGGAUUGGAGUCUGCAACUCGACUCCAUGAAGUUGGAAUCGCUAGUAAUCGUGGAUCAGCAUGCCACGGUGAAUACGUUCCCGGGCCUU
RNAcentral lists this ribosomal RNA (509 nucleotides) under uncultured Desulfobulbus sp. Its description in RNAcentral is "bacterial SSU rRNA". It matches the Rfam family "Bacterial small subunit ribosomal RNA", at positions 903 to 1382 of the family's 1533-position model. Lineage: Bacteria; Pseudomonadati; Thermodesulfobacteriota; Desulfobulbia; Desulfobulbales; Desulfobulbaceae. The record is from RNAcentral.